GUUAAUGAAGGUGUGUAUUUUGUCAACAGUGAUCUUUAAUAAAUUUGUUAUUACGUUAAUUUGUGUUACUUAACUCUUGGCUCAUCUGUUUACAAGUCGUUGUGCUGUUGCUAUAGCAACAGUGAAUACACCACUAAGCGUGGGUGAUCACGCUAAUGCUGGGAGGUUUUUUGUUAUUACAUCGCCGGGAAUGUGAUACAGGGACUGUGUGCCAGCUCUGAGACAUACAUGUGGCCCAGUAUAUAUCUCCCCAGGAGUGUAAAUAGCAACAUGAGCUGAUAAACAAGAACAAUUGAGUUGUACAGAGAAGUAAUUUGCUACCUGCUAGAAAGACCUCUUUCUCCCUGUUCUCAAGCUCCACGGGUAAGUGUGUAAUGUUUGAUCGAUUUAAAAUUCAGUGUUAGCUUUGGUUAUAGACUGUGCAAGGAACUGAGCACCAUGUGAAUUCUUCUAUUCAUCUAAGUAUGAUAGGCUUAUUGUUAAAUAGUUGUAAUGUAUGUUACCUGUGUUUGUGGCUUUUCCUUCUGUAAUAGAUGUGGUAAUGUAUCAGAGAGCUAGGUAUAGAAGCAGGUUAUACAGGUUUUAAAAUGAACCAGAAUAUUCAGUGGUAAUAUUAUCCCUGUGUUAGGUCAGAUACGCUAAGAGCCAAGGUCAGGGUUAUCCAGAUCACUGGAUCGAAAUACAGUUACCUAGCACCCAGGCCUCCCACAGCUUGGUGGGAUGUCCCUCGACAACCUCUUGUAACUGUAGUCAACUCUGGCCAAGAUGUCUGUGCCUGUUCAUGUGCCCCAUAUUUCUUUCUUUUUUUUUGUGAAUAACAUUUUUAUUGGUUUAACAUAAAUGAUAACAAUCAAUUGUGACAGCAACACAAUAUAUUUUCCUCUGUUCAAGAUCACGCUUGUAUGACUGCCACUUGUGAAAAAAAGGAAAGAGUAACAUAUGCUCCUAUUUACACUACACAAGUCAAACUAAUAAGACUGAUGACUGAUUUUUAGGGUUAGGAUGUAACAUCUAACAGGGUAUUUUAAUUUCUCAGUCAGAGAUAAGACAUCAUAA
Molecule: long non-coding RNA, 1056 nt
Organism: Ictalurus punctatus (channel catfish)
Lineage: Eukaryota; Metazoa; Chordata; Actinopteri; Siluriformes; Ictaluridae
Source: Ensembl